CCGCGUCAGGCGGGUAAGAUCCCUCGAAGAUGACGAGGUCGAUAGGUCCGAGGUGGAAGCGUGGCGACACGUGGAGCUGACGGAUACUAAUCGAUCGAGGGCUUAACCUA
Molecule: ribosomal RNA, 110 nt
Filed under: Geobacillus stearothermophilus
Lineage: Bacteria; Bacillati; Bacillota; Bacilli; Caryophanales; Anoxybacillaceae
Description: partial 23S ribosomal RNA
Rfam family: Bacterial large subunit ribosomal RNA
Source: RNAcentral